GAUGAAGAACGCAGCGAAAUGCGAUACGUAAUGUGAAUUGCAAAUUCAGUGAAUCAUCGAGUCUUUGAACGCACAUUGCGCCCCCUGGUAUUCCGGGGGGCAUGCCUGUCCGAGCGUCAUUGCUGCCCUCAAGCACGGCUUGUGUGUUGGACCCCGUCCUCCGAUCCCGGGGGACGGGCCCGAAAGGCAGCGGCGGCACCGCGUCCGGUCCUCGAGCGUAUGGGGCUUUGUCACCCGCUCUGUAGGCCCGGCCGGCGCUUGCCGAUCAACCCAAAUUUUUAUCCAGGUUGACCUCGGAUCAGGUAGGGAUACCCGCUGAACUUAAGCAUAUCAAUAACGGAGGA
RNAcentral lists this unclassified non-coding RNA (344 nucleotides) under soil metagenome. RNAcentral describes it as "partial contains 5.8S ribosomal RNA, internal transcribed spacer 2, and large subunit ribosomal RNA". The stretch from base 1 to 119 matches the Rfam family "5.8S ribosomal RNA", at positions 35 to 154 of the family's 154-position model. The record is from RNAcentral.